CUCAGAGACCUGGUGCCUUCUCUAACCCUUCCUUCCCUCCACAGAUUUUGCUUCCCCCAUUCAAAGCGCUUACUCCCGUCCCUUUCCCUUCUGGAUCAGUUCCCCUAAGAAGCCCACGCUUUUCAAAAGCAUUUCUGGAAAUUGUCCUCUGGGUGCCUGGAAACUGUUGAUUUUUGGAUCUGAAACUUAGAAGCCUUCAACUAGAGAACAUUCAGGCCUGGUUACCUUCUUAGGGAUGGGGGAGAGAAAUCACCCAUAGAAAUGAGAACAAAACACAAAUAUCUCCAUAAAUUAUCACAUAUGUAUUAUAUGUGUGUAUUUCCAGUGUCUGGUGCAGUAUUUUAGUUUAAGGUCGCAUACGUAGUUUAUAGUCAAAUAGGAGGAAGAAAAAGAAUGCUUUUGAAUAAUUGGAAUGGGAAAUGUGAUGUGACAAAUGCCCAAAGAUAAGUGAACAUUAAGCGCAAUUGCAGUUCAAAGCAGAAGAUAGAUUUCGGUCAGGGGAGAAUGAGUUCCAGGCAAACGGAAGUGCGGAUAGAUGAGCAGAGAUGAGAUUGUCAGAGAUGUGGCUGAAGAAUCGGAGUAGCAAUCUAGUUGCGGACUGUGAAGAAAUAGGUGGAUUGAGAGAGCACAUGUAUGGAGGAGGGGAAAGGGGGCAAGGAGAAUUUAUAGCUCCCUUGCAACUCAUUUCUGCUGCCGUCCUUGAAAAUCCUGCUUGAGUGGUGGUGUUACAAAUGGCUGAAGUGUCCUUGCUCUGUAAUGAGAUGCCCAGAUGGAGGCACCUUGAGCUGAGGGUAAUAAAACUUUGAUAAAGAAGCAUCUGAGAAGGAGCUGGAUAGUAGUAUCUGUGGAUUUCUAGACUAGAAUCAACAGUCUUUCCAGAUGCCUGUCAAACCUUAGUUUCUCUGAGGGUGGGGUUGAGGGGAGCUUUCAGCACUUCUUGGUGAGACACACGAAAGGUAAUCUCUGAGGCGAUGGGUUGCUGAAGCUGCGAUGUAUUUACCAAGUCUUGAAGUCGUUUUCUUUCUGGAUUUCUGGCUGCAAUCCAGUGACACCUGACGGGGGUGGCGAGGGGGAUCCUGAUAGCUGAUUGGCCGCGGCAAGGAUCCUGAAGGAGGCCGCGGUCUGCCAGUGCACCCAGGCCCCAGCUGUGACUCAGCCGCCGCUCUCCAGCACCGGGAGAGGGAACUCUCCGCCCGCCCGCGGACCCACCCCCGGCGCGAGCCGUGACGUCUCCCGGAAUUCACAGCUGCCCUCUCUCCCCGCUGGGCUCCCCCCAUCGGCACGCAGGAGGCUCUUCUGUCGCAGGCGGGAGCUGAGAGCAAACUGCCGGGGUCGUGCACGACUCCCCGGGGCUUCCCGCAGAAGCUGAUUGGCAAGGGGGGGUGGGGUGGGGUUCCGGCAGCCGUUGGUAACCCCCGCCCUGUCCCCUCCGCCUCCGCCCCAGUAAGAGAGGGCUGUAAAAUUCCGGAAGAGAGAUUAGAGGCAGGGGAUGGGUGGGGCAGUGAAUCAGUACAUUCCUUUCUCCCCCUGCCUCCUCCUGCCCUGUUAUCACUUUGGGUGGGUUGGGUCCUCUUAUGGCCUUCUCCUGACCGGUCCACUGGCAGGGUCCAGACAAGCUAAGCAGUGCUGGGCGGGAACCUCCCAAACUCAGCUGAACUUUGUAGAGCCUGGAUCACUUACUUUGCAGUUCAUGACCCCAUUUGGUUUCGGGUUGGGGAAUUUUGGUCCUUGCUUCCAACUGGGUCCCUUCCACAAGAGUAGUUCUUAGGCCUGUCUGUGCAUUUGUUAGUAGCUCCCAUUAAUUGAGCAAGCUCUUGCUCCGAGGCAAGGUCUGUGCUAGGUCAAUCAGUCUUAUGUUCCUAAAACUUUGCAAGGUAGGCAUACCUUCUCUCCUGUUAGAAGCCAGGACUCUGAAAGCUCAGAGAGGUUAGGUAACUUGCUCAAGGUCACACAGUGGCAAAGCCAGGAGUAGUCCCAGCUCUAUUAGUUCCAUAAAUUUUCCACCACACUCCGUGGCUUCCUUUAGCACACUGAAAGGCAACACUUAUUAGGGGGUGGCGAAGUAACAUCUAUGGACCACUUCCCACUGUGCUAGGUACUUUAAAUAUAUUGUCUUUAAUCAUUUACUUUUUUCACAACAACCCCCUGAGAGAGAUACGAUCACCAUGCCCAUAUUACACAGGAGGAAACUUUCGUUAGGAAUUUCAGGGGCAGAGCUGGGAUUCCUGUACAGUCAUAGUACAAAGCCGCAGUUAAUGUUUGUAUAGUGCUUGACAGUUUCCAAAGCCCUUUCAAGAUCUUCAUUUCAGUCUAUCCCAUUUCACAG
Molecule: long non-coding RNA, 2326 nt
Filed under: Equus caballus (horse)
Lineage: Eukaryota; Metazoa; Chordata; Mammalia; Perissodactyla; Equidae
Description: lncRNA (ENSECAG00000046567.1)
Source: RNAcentral